This 3072-nucleotide long non-coding RNA is filed under the name Hordeum vulgare. Its description in RNAcentral is "long non-coding RNA (HVUL_LNC000135)". The record is from RNAcentral. Lineage: Eukaryota; Viridiplantae; Streptophyta; Magnoliopsida; Poales; Poaceae.
AGGAAUAGAAGACACAUGUAUGUAUGGUUCAUACCCGAUAAGCCCAUCAUUUCAUAGUAAAUUGCAAAAGCGACAAUAAUUGGUUACAAUUGAAGAAUUAAAAAAGAACUACAUAACUAUACGUGACAAUGAAUGGAAUAUGUACGUAGGAAGAGGACAUCUCAACAACCACAGGACAUCUCAAGAGGACAUCUCAACAACCACGGCAGCGAUCGAUAGCUGGAGACCACUUUGGUUCAUGGUUGCACAUAUGAUCGAUAGCUGGAGACCACUUUGGUUCAUGGUUGCACAUAUCUCACAUAACGAUUUGUCCCUAUCACUAUAGCCGAAGAUUUCGCACUCAAAUCUUCACACUUUACUACAACUAAUUUUCUUAGUGCGAAAUCACCAGGUCGCUUCAUUCAUGUUAUUAGGUCCACGUAAGGCUGCAUGCCCCGCGUAAGACUCAACAGUUUUCUUCGUACGAAAUCUGUCUCAUUCAUGUGAUUCGGUUCAACUAUGGCUGAAUGCCCAUCACUUUCCACAGUACCGCUGCCUCGUCGCUGUGCAAUAUCUCGUCGUCGUGAGACUCGAUCAUUUUUUCUUCGUGCUAAAUCACCCUGUCUCGUCGUUGUCCAAUAUCUUGUUAUGGUGAGACUCGAUAAUUUUUUUCUUCGUGCUAAAUCACCCUGUCUCGUCGCUGUCCAAUAUCUUGUCAUCGUGAGACUUGAUCAUUUUUUCUUCGUGCUAAAUCACCCUGUCUUCGCUGUCCAAUAUCUUGUCGUCGUGAGACUUGAUCAUUUUUUCUUCGUGCUAAAUCACCCUGUUUUGUCGCUGUCCAAUAUCUUGUCGUCGUGCCACAUCUCAAAUUUCAACCCUUUCUAAAUUCAUUUUUUUUUUCAUGCACUUGGUGAUUUGUUUUUGUGCUAACUGACCAUGAAAUUGAAAAGGACUACAAAUGAAUGCUAAAAGGUUGAAAUAUGGCAUGGUGUCAUAAUUUCACACACAUAGCAUGUACUAAAAAGUUGAGCGGGUUACGGCAAAAACUGGAUGCACUUUGUGUACAAGCUGGACCAUCUACUUCGAAGAAUGAGGGUUUCGGACGAAAAUUCAUCUGUUACAAAGGCAUUUUUUUUUAAAUUAUUUCAACUCCACACUUUUUGUGAAUUUAAUAUGCAUCAUUCAAUGACACAUCCUUAAAUUUCAACCCUUUCUAACAUCAUUUUCUAUUUUCCAUGCACUUAAUGAAUUUUUUAGCUAAAUGACCCUGAAAUUGAAAAGCACUAUAAAUAAAUUCUGAAAAGGUUGAAAUUUAACAUGUGACACAUAGCAUGUUCUAGAAAGAUGAGUGGGUUACGGAAAAAACUAGAUUCACUCCAGAGCUCACAUACAGAAACAAUAGGUCAGCACGUUAGAGGGGAAAGCAAAAUUUGAUCCAACCGCGUGGUUGAACACGGAUGGAUGCAAGACCAAACCGUGCUGACGGUCCAGGAUGUUCGAAGCUUGAAGUCUUGACAGAUAAGGGUUGUGAUGAGGGGAACAACAAGUGGUUUGCACCAUGUCCCAACCAUAUUUCCAUCUUCCAGAUUGGGAGCAAGCUUAUUUGGUUCAGAAAGGGAAAUUCUUGCUUGAAUUUUAGACUCGAGGGCCCUCAGACAGACUCAAACCAAGGGUGAUUGUCAUUACCUGACUUGAGAGCAUCCUUGUUUGGUUCAAGAAGGAAAAAUCCUUGCAUGAAUUUUAGCUAGUUUCUUUAUGCAUGUAAAAGCAAUGCUCGAAACUAUAACAGAUAUGUGUCAGGAAACCACAUAAGGAGAAUUCUAUGGAGAUAGAGCAAAAAUGGUUGGCAAGAUGAAUGGCACUUGUAGUUGCAUGGAGACAUUUUUUAACCCUGUGGGCCUUAUUUUAAUUAUCAUGGUGGAUCCCAGCUUGUGGCAGCAGUAAUGUAUCUUGGAGAUGUUACUUCCUUGAAAAGUAUGAAUACACUUGAAGGACCGAAAAUAAACAGGUGUACACGUGACAUUUGAUGAAGCAAGGAAAGUUCGUACUUACACUCUAUAUAUAAAUACACUUCUUCUUCGGUACAACCCCAAAUACAAGGACGGCUGAGAUUAAACGAUACCCCUUCGUAACAAAGAGCAGAAUUGUCUUUUCCCCGUCCCGACGUACGCACGUCAGCCCGACGGGCGCCAGCUGACGAAACGGCGACGUACAGGAGGCCCGGUACACGCGUCGUACCCGCGUCCACCCGCUGCGACGUGGCGUCUUCACGUCGGUCUGACAGCGGUCAAUCCGUCGGUUCCCGAGACCGCGACAUUAAUUCCGCGCUGCGUCGUCAGUUCGCGUCGGUUCCCGACGCCGCCGCCAUUAAUCCCGCGCUGCGUCGCCAGUCCGCGCCGGUUCCCGAAGCCGCCGCCAUUAACCACCGCGUCGCCAGCUCAUCGCGUCGGUUCCCGAAGACGACAUUAAUCACCAGUCAGCGCCUCGUCGUCCGAUGCCGUCGUUAGCCCGUUGGUUCGCCGGCUCCCGAGGUGACGCCAUUAAUGACGGCCCCGUCGUCAGAGCCCAUCGCGUCGGUUCUCGAGACCGUCGUCGUUGGCCCGUUGGUUCGACGGCUCCCGAGGCGACGUGCAUUCACUCCGGGGGAGUUACGCCGGCCAGCUUCCCCGUCGCCUCCCCUACCGUCGCGGCGCUAUAUAUACCCGUCGUCCCGCGGCUCGUCGGCACACCCGUCGCUCCCCUGCUCUCCUUCUCUCCCCCGCUCUUCGUCGUCCCGCCGCAGAUCCCCGUCGUCCCGACGUUCUCUUCCUCCCUCCCCCGUUCUCCGACGUCCCGACGGUGGAUCAUGUCGGCGGCAGCAGCUCCGGCGGCGGCGGCGCGCCGGAGAGCAACUGGCGCUAGAGCCUCGACAAGCCGCUGACACAAGAGCUGUACAACUUCGGCCUCCUCGUCCCGCCGGGGUGCCGCCUUGCAAAACCGUGGAGUAUUUGCAAGGACGGCUAUCCGACGCUGGACAACCCCGCGACGCUGGAGCAGCUCCGGGUCCACCCUGGCGACCCCUACAACACCCGCGGCCGGCACGCCUAUUGGGAC